This 76-nucleotide small RNA is filed under the name Xanthomonas fragariae. RNAcentral's name for it is "sX9 sRNA". It matches the Rfam family "Xanthomonas sRNA sX9". Lineage: Bacteria; Pseudomonadati; Pseudomonadota; Gammaproteobacteria; Lysobacterales; Lysobacteraceae. The record is from RNAcentral.
AUGUACGACGCGUACAUCCCGCUUACUCCACAUCGUCCGCGCCCACCUGACAACCACUCGCUACGUCUUGUCAGCC